UGGAAGACUUCAACAGAGCUGCCCUGAUUUAUAUCAGCUGAGGACCUUGUCUUGUGCCUCUGAAAAGCAUGAAUGGUUCAGUCUAUGACAUUGCUCAUUUGCAUAACGACACUCACAGCCAAAUUCAGACUUGUUGUAACUGGACUGUGGGAAAGCAUGAGUCCUCUCAGUCCAGACCAGCCAGUCUUCAGAUGAAAUGGGUUUGCUCAGCGGCCUGCAACUAUCCACUAGAGAAGCAAGAGCACCCCCUAAACCAUCGUGCAAGUCUCACACAGCUUUCUGAGGACUCAGCACCAAUUUUUUUUUGAGACAGAUUCUGUAACCCAUACUUCUGAAGAAGAUCAUUCCUCUUUUAUUCUUGAUUCCUACAAAGGCAGAGGCAUUUCAUCUGAAUACAGUUGGGCUUGAAGACUUACCAAGAGGUAUUACUGGAACCCAGUUAAAACAAAGACUGAGCUGUCCUGGUUCCAGUUGUUUGUCGGAGAUGGAGUCAGGAUCCGCUGAUCGAACCAGCAUGCAGUACCAGAAGACCACAUAUCUACAAACAUAUAGUCUAAGAACACAGGACUGUCCUUUGCAACAUUAAAGACUAAACUCAGAGCAUGUCAUCUUGGUUUUGUAAAUCUAACAACAAUAUAAAUUGCAAACCAAUUUUUGGGGCCUAAUUUGGGUAAGGUUUGUGAUUUCAGCAGUAAAAUAAUCGAGACACCAUCAAUGGUGGUAUUGUCUGUCUAUUGUUUUAUUGUGAUAAAUAAGGAACCAAGAUAUGGUGGCAUCAAAGACACAGAUUCUUUGGAGAUCAUAUCACUCCGUAGUUUGACGUGAAUAAAAACUUUACUCUGG
This is a non-coding RNA of Caretta caretta (loggerhead turtle), 843 nucleotides long. The record is from RefSeq and is a predicted model, not a curated record. NCBI's taxonomy places the organism in Eukaryota, Metazoa, Chordata, Testudines, Cheloniidae.